Molecule: transfer RNA, 63 nt
Filed under: Paracyclopina nana
Lineage: Eukaryota; Metazoa; Arthropoda; Copepoda; Cyclopoida; Cyclopettidae
Description: tRNA-Arg
Source: RNAcentral
AAGCUUUUGACUUAAUUUAAACCUUAAUUUCGACUUAAGAGAUGGCUUACAGCCUUAAGUUUU